Molecule: long non-coding RNA, 382 nt
Filed under: Callithrix jacchus (white-tufted-ear marmoset)
Lineage: Eukaryota; Metazoa; Chordata; Mammalia; Primates; Cebidae
Description: lncRNA (ENSCJAG00000086884.1)
Source: RNAcentral
AUGCUGGCACACAGUCAGAGGACACAGGCUACAGCCGCAACUCUGCUCCUAACAGGCUGGGUGACUCAUGGACCAGCACCGAGCAGGUCGCUCCAUAGAGGAUGGGACCACAGAGGCUGGCUUGGUCGAUGCAGUGGCCCAUUCUCACAAACCCUCAUGCAAUACUGGGGCUGGCACCUGGAAUGCUGGAGUUUUUGGAAGCCUUGUACACCAAUCGGGCCAGACGGUGCAUUGCCUUCCACGAAGUUUGAGCCAGGAACAAGUCGGAUAUAAAUGAGGUGCUGGCGAGAGGAAUGGGGGAGUGCCCAUCAUCACACUCCCAUCUCAAAGGAAAGCCUUCCCUGCUCCCAAAGUCUGGUGACCUCAGCUGGGGAAGCCUGGC